AGGACGAACGCUGGCGGCGUGCUUAACACAUGCAAGUCGAACGGUAAGGCCCCUUCGGGGGUACACGAGUGGCGAACGGGUGAGUAACACGUGGGUAAUCUGCCCUGCACUUCGGGAUAAGCCUGGGAAACUGGGUCUAAUACCGGAUAUGAACUCCUGCCGCAUGGUGGGGGUUGGAAAGUUUUUCGGUGCAGGAUGAGCCCGCGGCCUAUCAGCUUGUUGGUGGGGUAAUGGCCUACCAAGGCGACGACGGGUAGCCGGCCUGAGAGGGUGAUCGGCCACACUGGGACUGAGACACGGCCCAGACUCCUACGGGAGCAGCAGUGGGAAUAUUGCACAAUGGGCGAAAGCCUGAUGCAGCGACGCCGCGUGGGGGAUGACGGUCUUCGGAUUGUAAACCCUUUCAGUAGGGACGAAGCGCAAGUGAGGUACCUGCAGAAGAAGCACGCUAACUACGUGACAGCAGCGC
Molecule: ribosomal RNA, 469 nt
Filed under: uncultured soil bacterium
Lineage: Bacteria
Description: bacterial SSU rRNA
Rfam family: Bacterial small subunit ribosomal RNA
Source: RNAcentral